Molecule: ribosomal RNA, 302 nt
Filed under: Paenibacillus xylanilyticus
Lineage: Bacteria; Bacillati; Bacillota; Bacilli; Caryophanales; Paenibacillaceae
Description: partial 23S ribosomal RNA
Rfam family: Bacterial large subunit ribosomal RNA
Source: RNAcentral
GUGUUAAGUGGGAAAGGAUGUAGAGUUGCACAGACAACCAGGAUGUUGGCUUAGAAGCAGCCACCAUUGAAAGAGUGCGUAAUAGCUCACUGGUCGAGUGACUCUGCGCCGAAAAUGUAACGGGGCUAAACACACCACCGAAGCUAUGGCUUGAUACUAUGUAUCAGGGGUAGGGGAGCGUUGUAUAAGGGUUGAAGGUGUACCGUAAGGAGCGCUGGACAUUAUACAAGUGAGAAUGCCGGUAUGAGUAACGAAAAGAUCAGUGAGAAUCUGAUCCGCCGAAAGCCUAAGGGUUCCUGAGG